This 1390-nucleotide long non-coding RNA is filed under the name Anas platyrhynchos platyrhynchos (common mallard). RNAcentral's name for it is "lncRNA (ENSAPLG00000021764.1)". Lineage: Eukaryota; Metazoa; Chordata; Aves; Anseriformes; Anatidae. The record is from RNAcentral.
UGCCCGUCCUCAGGACCACCGCCGUGACCCUGUGUCCCCCCCUGAAGAGCCAGUGGGUGACAAAGCCAUGGGGUUCUCCAGGGCCCAUGGGGCGAAGGACAGCAGCAACCGGAAGCGGAAGAAUGAGGCAGAGACGGGACAGGAGGUGCUGAAGGCACCCCAGGGAAAGGCUGUGAAGAAGGAACCAGAGGAAACUCCAUGUGUGGUGCAGCCCCCUGUGCUGAAAGGGAAGAAAAAAUCUGCAAAAAACAAAGAGAAACCACUGCAGGAGAACAUCAUCAGUAGCUCCCUAAAGCAUGAGGCUGUGGAAGGUGAAGGCUCAAGCCAGUGGGAUGGGAUCCGAGCAAAGGAGGCAGCUGCAUCUGGGUUGGAGAAGACUGAAUCCAGCCUUCACCAAGGGUCAUCAGCAGGGCUGGAGGGCUCUUCCAGGUCACAGCCCAAAUCCUGGAGAAAGGGACCUGCAGUGGGACAGCAGCUCUCAGAGACCAAGGACCGAGUUGGGGUCCUGAAAUCAAGUGGUGGUGUUUCUGGCAUGGCUGCGUGCCUCUCUGGAGAGCCUGGGGGUUCGGGGUUGUCUCUGGGGGUCACUGCUAUGAGGGUGGGGAUGGAGAAGGAGCUGGACUCCUCUGUCCCACAGCAGAAAGGGGAUGCCCGAGACCCAAAGAGGAAAAAAGAGAAGAAGCAAGAGCAAAGGAAGCAGAGGGAGAAGGGAUUGCUGAAAAAGGGAGGGAGCAAGAAGGAUGAGUUUGAGGAAGAUCUCGAGGGUGUGAUGGAAGGCAUCGAGGAUGAGGAUGGUGCUGAUGGGGAUGGAAACUGGGGAGUGGGGCAAGACAGAGCCAAGCAAGGGAGCAGCAGUUGUGCCCAGGGAAGGGGCAAUGAGAAGGAAAAGCAGGAGAAGGGGAAAGCAGAGAAAUGCAAGAAGGUGAAAAUAGAGGGGGAGGAGAAAACGGGGAAGAAGAAAAUAAAGAAGGAAAAAAUGGUAGAAGAGGAGCAAGAGCUGGAGAGGGCAAAUGAGGAAUUAGGAGGGGGAGAUGGACCAGGAGGGAUGGAAGGGAGGGAUGUGGUGGGAAAGGAAAGUGAAGAUGGGCAAGGAGUAAAGGAGGAGGUGGAUGAGCAAGGGGAUGAGAGAUGGGGACAGGAAGAAGAUGAGAUGGGGAAGGGAGAUGGGCCAGAGAAAGGGAAAAAGCAGAAAAACAAAGAGAAAAAGCCAAAAGAGAAAAAGGAGAAGGGGAAGAAAAGUAAAGAGAAGAGCGAAAAUGAGGAGAUCCCAGAGAAAACCCGGAAAAGAAAAUCUAAGGAGGAAGGAGAGGAGAAGAACAACAAAAAGGCUAAAAAGGAGGAGAAAGAGAAAGAAAAGAAAGAAGAGGCAGAAAAGAAGUGGAAAUGGUAA